This 75-nucleotide transfer RNA is filed under the name Hanseniaspora uvarum DSM 2768. RNAcentral's name for it is "tRNA-Lys". It matches the Rfam family "tRNA". Rfam says of the family: Transfer RNA (tRNA) molecules are approximately 80 nucleotides in length. Their secondary structure includes four short double-helical elements and three loops (D, anti-codon, and T loops). Further hydrogen bonds mediate the characteristic L-shaped molecular structure. tRNAs have two regions of fundamental functional importance: the anti-codon, which is responsible for specific mRNA codon recognition, and the 3' end, to which the tRNAs corresponding amino acid is attached (by aminoacyl-tRNA synthetases). tRNAs cope with the degeneracy of the genetic code in two manners: having more than one tRNA (with a specific anti-codon) for a particular amino acid; and 'wobble' base-pairing, i.e. permitting non-standard base-pairing at the 3rd anti-codon position. Lineage: Eukaryota; Fungi; Ascomycota; Saccharomycetes; Saccharomycodales; Saccharomycodaceae. The record is from RNAcentral.
UCCUUGUUAGCUCAGUCGGUAGAGCGUUCGACUUUUAUAAUCGAAAUGUCAGGGGUUCGAGCCCCCUAUGAGGAG